GGAAUUUUGCGCAAUGGGCGAAAGCCUGACGCAGCAACGCCGCGUGAGGGAUGACGGCCUUCGGGUUGUAAACCUCUUUUCUCAGGGAAGAUGAUGACGGUACCUGAGGAAUAAGCCACGGCUAACUACGUGCCAGCAGCCGCGGUAAGACAGAGGGUGCAAACGUUGUUCGGAAUUACUGGGCGUAAAGCGCGUGUAGGCGGCGGCGCAAGUCGGAUGUGAAAGCCCAUGGCUCAACCAUGGAAGUGCACCCGAAACUGCGUUGCUAGAGUCUCGGAGAGGAAGGUGGAAUGCUUGGUGUAGAGGUGAAAUUCGUAGAUAUCAAGCGGAACACCGGUGGCGAAGGCGGCCUUCUGGACGAGUACUGACGCUGAGACGCGAAAGCGUGGGUAGCAAAC
Molecule: ribosomal RNA, 398 nt
Filed under: uncultured bacterium
Lineage: Bacteria
Description: bacterial SSU rRNA
Rfam family: Bacterial small subunit ribosomal RNA
Source: RNAcentral